RNAcentral lists this ribosomal RNA (1274 nucleotides) under metagenome. Its description in RNAcentral is "bacterial LSU rRNA". It matches the Rfam family "Bacterial large subunit ribosomal RNA", at positions 1634 to 2925 of the family's 2925-position model. The record is from RNAcentral.
UCUAAUGCCCGUACCCCAAACCGACACAGGUGGACUGGUAGAGUAUACCAAGGCGAUUGAGAGAACGGUGUUGAAGGAACUAGGCAAGUUGCACUUGCAACUUCGGAAGAAGAGUGGCCUUUAUGUGGGCAACCAUGUAAAGGUGGCACAAGCUAGGGGGUAGCGACUGUUUACUAAAAACACAGGGCUCUGCGAAGAUUAAUGUCGACGUAUAGGGUCUGACGCCUGCCCAGUGCCGGAAGGUUAAGUGAUGGAGUGCAAGCUCUGGAUCGAAGCCCCGGUGAACGGCGGCCGUAACUAUGACGGUCCUAAGGUAGCGAAAUUCCUUGUCGGGUAAGUUCCGACCCGCACGAAUGGCGUAACGACUUCCCCACUGUCUCCAACACCGGCUCAGCGAAAUAGAAUUCCUCGUGAAGAUGCGGGGUACCUGCGGUUAGACGGAAAGACCCCGUGCACCUUUACUGCAAUUUUGCAUUGGUAUUAGAAAUUCGUUGUGCAGGAUAGGUGGGAGGCUUUGAAGCCAAGGCGCAAGCUUUGGUGGAGCCACCCUUGAGAUACCACCCUACGUAUUUUUGAUAUCUAACCUAGACCCGUUAACCGGGUCGGGGACCAUGCAUGAUGGGCAGUUUGACUGGGGCGGUCGCCUCCCAAAAAGUAACGGAGGCGUGCGAAGGUAGGCUCCGGUUGGUCGGAAAUCAACCUUUCAGAGUGUAAUGGCAUAAGCCUGCCUGACUGCGAGACGUACAUGUCGAGCAGAGACGAAAGUCGGUCAUAGUGAUCCGGUGGUUCCACGUGGUGGGGCCAUCGCUCAACGAAUAAAAGGUACGCCGGGGAUAACAGGCUGAUCUUGCCCAAGAGCUCAUAUCGACGGCAAGGUUUGGCACCUCGAUGUCGGCUCAUCACAUCCUGGGGCUGGAGCAGGUCCCAAGGGUAUGGCUGUUCGCCAUUUAAAGUGGUACGUGAGCUGGGUUUAGAACGUCGUGAGACAGUUCGGUCCCUAUCUGCCGUAGGCGUUGGAAGUUUGAGAGGAUUUGUCCCUAGUACGAGAGGACCGGGAUGAACGUACCUCUGGUGUGCCAGUUGUUCCGCCAGGAGCAGCGCUGGGUAGCUAUGUACGGACGGGAUAACCGCUGAAAGCAUCUAAGCGGGAAACCCUCCUCAAGACCAUACUUCCCCAUGAGAGCCGUCGUAGACUACGACGUUGAUAGGCUGGAUGUGUAAGGGUAGUAAUGCCUUUAGCUUACCAGUACUAAUUGCUUCAUUGGCUUAAAAAA